This is a long non-coding RNA of Carassius gibelio (silver crucian carp), 1086 nucleotides long. RefSeq lists it as uncharacterized. Lineage: Eukaryota; Metazoa; Chordata; Actinopteri; Cypriniformes; Cyprinidae. The record is from RefSeq and is a predicted model, not a curated record. The transcript is spliced from 2 exons.
AAGAAGAAGAAGAAGAAGAAGAAGAAGAAGAAAACAUACCUGACUCAUCGACAGAUUGGACACCUACAAACCGUCACACGAUAAUAAAAACAGAUCUCGGGGUGUUAUCUUUCACAGGACAAGGACAGUCUUAAGGAAAGCUGAGGAAAGCUGUUCUCAGAGACGAGACUAUUCCUCCACAGACUAGUGUUGUGUUUGUACUAAACCCAGAGCAGCCCUGAAUGAAUCGAAAGAAUGACCAGCUCAUAUUCUAAAGCCAUUAAUCGUUUGAAAGCAUUAAUUUAUACCAGAAAACAAGACAGAAAUACUACGGAAGAAAAUCAUUUAUCACUUAAUCGUUUGAUUCUGAUUCAUUCAGACAUUUCUAAUAAUGUUGAUAUAAAUGCUAAUACUGCACUGAUGUUUAUAAUAAAAGAAGACAUAAUCAUUCAUAAACUUUUGAACCCAGCAAAGAAAUAAUGGAUGUUGCAUUAAGUCAUUUAUUUUCUCAUUACACACAGUCAAGUAUAUUACAGAUCUCUUCAUACUCUAUAUAAAAUUAGAUUCGUUGGCGUAUAUAUUCAGAUUUGAGAGGUUAAAGGGCAGAGAGCAUGAUCACUAUACAGCGGAUUCCUCACUGCUUCCUCACAUCAGCAAUAAUCUGGGGAAGAAACAAUGAUUACACUCUGUAUUCCAGUGCUAAUAUAUGAACAUCAUCAAACCAAGACAUCUGCAGGAGAUGCAUAAUGACCUCAGAUAUUAAUUUUUAUUAUCUACUCAAUAUAUUUAUUUUUAGAUUUUUAUUGGUUAAUUCUUAAAAGGGGGGAAAAAAAUCUGCCAAAGGUGAAAACUAUUGUUUUUCUCAGCCGCUGACAGAUAUUUGUUCUUGUUUUAAUCAUGAACUCAUUUAUAUUUCAGUAAAUGCUUCUCGAUUUAAGGAUGUUCAGAUAUUUGAGCUGGAAAACAAGAGGAAGAGCAUCAUUCUCUGCGGUGAAGAAGAACACCAUGACCUUCAUCAAAUUAAAAUCUCUCGUGUUUGUGUCCGAGUCGAACGGUGGCAGGUAAAAGAAAAGAGUAAAAAAUAAACCCUGGACAAUCUUCCUAAAA